RNAcentral lists this ribosomal RNA (465 nucleotides) under Vreelandella stevensii. Its description in RNAcentral is "partial 16S ribosomal RNA". It matches the Rfam family "Bacterial small subunit ribosomal RNA", at positions 338 to 795 of the family's 1533-position model. Lineage: Bacteria; Pseudomonadati; Pseudomonadota; Gammaproteobacteria; Oceanospirillales; Halomonadaceae. The record is from RNAcentral.
CCUACGGUGUGCUGCAGUGGGGAAUAUUGGACAAUGGGCGAAAGCCUGAUCCAGCCAUGCCGCGUGUGUGAAGAAGGCCUUCGGGUUGUAAAGCACUUUCAGUGGGGAAGAAAGCCUUGGGGCUAAUACCCUCGAGGAAGGACAUCACCCACAGAAGAAGCACCGGCUAACUCCGUGCCAGCAGCCGCGGUAAUACGGAGGGUGCGAGCGUUAAUCGGAAUUACUGGGCGUAAAGCGCGCGUAGGCGGUCUGAUAAGCCGGUUGUGAAAGCCCCGGGCUCAACCUGGGAACGGCAUCCGGAACUGUCAGGCUAGAGUGCAGGAGAGGAAGGUAGAAUUCCCGGUGUAGCGGUGAAAUGCGUAGAGAUCGGGAGGAAUACCAGUGGCGAAGGCGGCCUGCUGGACUGACACUGACGCUGAGGUGCGAAAGCGUGGGUAGCAAACAGGAUUAGAUACCCCAGUAGUC